RNAcentral lists this ribosomal RNA (245 nucleotides) under Tryblionella compressa. RNAcentral describes it as "partial Bacterial large subunit ribosomal RNA". It matches the Rfam family "Bacterial large subunit ribosomal RNA", at positions 1899 to 2143 of the family's 2925-position model. Lineage: Eukaryota; Bacillariophyta; Bacillariophyceae; Bacillariales; Bacillariaceae. The record is from RNAcentral.
GUGAAGCGGAGAAUUUAAGCCCCAGUAAACGGCGGUGGUAACUAUAACCAUCCUAAGGUAGCGAAAUUCCUUGUCGGGUAAGUUCCGACCUGCACGAAUGGCAUAAUGAUGGCGGCGCUGUCUCCAGCAGAGGCUCAGUGAAAUCGAAAUCGCUGUGAAGAUGCAGUGUACCCGCGGCUAGACGGAAAGACCCCGUGAACCUUUACUAUAGCUUUGCACUGGACUUUGAAUUUGCUUGUGUAGGA